GAAACUGCGAAUGGCUCAUUAAAUCAGUUAUCGUUUAUUUGAUAAUACCUUACUACUUGGAUAACCGUGGUAAUUCUAGAGCUAAUACAUGCUGAAAAUCCCGACUUCGGAAGGGAUGUGUUUAUUAGAUAAAAAACCAAUGCCCUUCGGGGCUUUUUGGUGAUUCAUGAUAACUUUACGGAUCGCAUAGCCUUGCGCUGGCGACGGUUCAUUCAAAUUUCUGCCCUAUCAACUUUCGAUGGUAAGGUAUUGGCUUACCAUGGUUUCAACGGGUAACGGGGAAUUAGGGUUCGAUUCCGGAGAGGGAGCCUGAGAAACGGCUACCACAUCCAAGGAAGGCAGCAGGCGCGCAAAUUACCCAAUCCCGACACGGGGAGGUAGUGACAAUAAAUACUGAUACAGGGCUCUUUUGGGUCUUGUAAUUGGAAUGAGUACAAUUUAAACCUCUUAACGAGGAACAAUUGGAGGGCAAGUCUGGUGCCAGCAGCCGCGGUAAUUCCAGCUCCAAUAGCGUAUAUUAAAGUUGUUGCAGUUAAAAAGCUCGUAGUUGAAACUUGGGCCUGGCUGGCGGGUCCGCCUCACCGCGUGCACUCGUCCGGCCGGGCCUUCCUUCUGAAGAACCUCAUGCCCUUCACUGGGCGUGCUGGGGAAUCAGGACUUUUACUUUGAAAAAAUUAGAGUGUUCAAAGCAGGCCUUUGCUCGAAUACGUUAGCAUGGAAUAAUAAAAUAGGGCGUGCGUUUCUAUUUUGUUGGUUUCUAGAGACGCCGCAAUGAUUAACAGGAACAGUCGGGGGCAUCAGUAUUCAGUUGUCAGAGGUGAAAUUCUUGGAUUUACUGAAGACUAACUACUGCGAAAGCAUUUGCCAAGGAUGUUUUCAUUAAUCAGUGAACGAAAGUUAGGGGAUCGAAGACGAUCAGAUACCGUCGUAGUCUUAACCGUAAACUAUGCCGACUAGGGAUCGGGCGAUGUUCUUUUUCUGACUCGCUCGGCA
This 993-nucleotide ribosomal RNA is filed under the name Alternaria alternata. RNAcentral describes it as "SSU rRNA". It matches the Rfam family "Eukaryotic small subunit ribosomal RNA", at positions 83 to 1085 of the family's 1831-position model. The record is from RNAcentral. Lineage: Eukaryota; Fungi; Ascomycota; Dothideomycetes; Pleosporales; Pleosporaceae.